This 245-nucleotide ribosomal RNA is filed under the name uncultured bacterium. Its description in RNAcentral is "partial 16S ribosomal RNA". It matches the Rfam family "Bacterial small subunit ribosomal RNA", at positions 524 to 765 of the family's 1533-position model. The record is from RNAcentral.
UACGUAGGGUGCAAGCGUUAUCCGGAAUUAUUGGGCGUAAAGAGCUCGUAGGCGGUUUGUCGCGUCUGCUGUGAAAAACUGGAGGCUCAACCUCCAGCCUGCAGUGGGUACGGGGCAGACUAGAGUGCGGUAGGGGAGAUUGGAAUUCCUGGUGUAGCGGUGGAAUGCGCAGAUAUAGGAGGAACACCGGAUGGCGAAGGCAGAUCUCUGGGCCGUAACUGGACGCUGAGGAGCGAAAGCUGGGG